UAUAAGUCAUUAUAAUCCGUAAUUAUGUCCCCACUGGAUGCAACAAAUGCCUGUUUAUUAUGGGUUUUAUUGGAUUUCUCUUGCCGGGCCGGG
This is a long non-coding RNA of Sinocyclocheilus grahami, 93 nucleotides long. RefSeq lists it as uncharacterized. The record is from RefSeq and is a predicted model, not a curated record. Lineage: Eukaryota; Metazoa; Chordata; Actinopteri; Cypriniformes; Cyprinidae. The transcript has 3 exons.